UCAGGGUCCAAACAAAAUUACAAUCAAAUCAGUCAAUACCCAAACAUAAAAGCGGGCUCGACCACCGCUGUUGAGUGCCAAAACUAAAUACAACAUUACUAGCCUUUAACCACCACAAAGAAGUUGAUUUCACUUUAUCUAGCAAUUGUGGCAACGUACUUUGUCUAUUUCUAAAAAGCCUAUCAUUCCUUUCAUUCCACAACACCGAAACACAAAGCAACCAAAUCAAGUGGAAGAAAGACCGUCGCCCUCUCGAACAACCGGCAUAAUUAAUAAAUUGCACAAAAUGAUCUGAAG
RNAcentral lists this long non-coding RNA (297 nucleotides) under Medicago truncatula (barrel medic). Its description in RNAcentral is "long non-coding RNA (MTRU_LNC004011)". Lineage: Eukaryota; Viridiplantae; Streptophyta; Magnoliopsida; Fabales; Fabaceae. The record is from RNAcentral.